GGGAGGCACGUUCAUCCCAAACCAUUUGGGAUGGAUGAGAUGAAUCACCGCAAGCGCCGAAGCCAAACCCCCUUUCUCAAAAGCGCCGCGUUGAGGCGCUGGAAUACUCGGUGCUGUCCAUUCCCUGCAGCAAUGAAGGAGCCUCCGGAUCGGCUGUAGAGCUCGCCGCAGCCGAGCGCUCGAAAGCGUCGGUUCCUGCUGAAGAAGUGCCCUUUCCUCGACGAGUCGAGUCAGACGGGGGCCGAGGCGGUUGCCGAUCCUCCGCGACGGGCCGGGUCCCCUGUUAGCGAAGGGAGAGGAGGCGCUUCCACGCGCAGAAACGUCUCCUUUCUUUCACGGGCUGCGCGCGAAAGGCCUCCAUGUACCUGGCAAAAUUCCUGCUCUUCCGUGGCUCCGUGAUCCCCUGCUUUGAGAUGUUUUGCAUAGUUUGAAUGUACGAAUAACCAGCUACUCGUUGCUGAGCUGGUUACCUUGUCCUACUCCAAAGCCGUUCGUCUGAGACGGGACAUAUCUGAAGAGCGCGGAAAGGGCCUGCCUGGCUCGUUCUUUGGGAUUUUUUUCCCCCCCCGAUGUGGGCAGAAUAAAAUCGAAGUCACGUUUGACGAGGGCAGAGACGUUUCCUCGUCCGGACGCGGAAGCUACAGCUGUAUUUUUCUAGCGCCUCGUCCCCUUGCAGGAGCAUCGGGAACGCCACCCCCGUUACGAGCACGGGACCGUUGCACCUCUCGAAUCGUCCCACCAAGCCGCGAGCCCUUUCGGCGGGUUAAGGAGAAGAGUCUCGGCACGGUCCCCACCCCCCGCGGAAGUGGCUCCCGAAACCCGGUUCCCCUGCUCAAGCCGAAGGGCUCCAACCUAAUUCUCCUGCCAGCCGGCGGUUCCCGAGCGCAGUCUCUUUUCUGGCAGCGGUUGCUAUAAUUGUCUGAACUGUGUGAAAUCUCUGGGAAUGAUUUUUACGUUUUGUUGUGGGGGUUUUUUUUUGUUGUUGUUUUAAUAAUAUUUAAUUUUAUGCAAUGUGUUUCAAACCGGUCGAGGUCUGCGCAACCUUCUCCCUUUUGGGCGCAACGCGUUUUCCAAUGGGACGGCGUCCGUCGGUACGUUAUUCCUUGCCAAACGUUACUCCUUUUAGAGCGGUCACCUUGCCGGUUUGAAGCUCCGAACGGUUUGUUUUCCGCCGCGGUGAAACGCACCUUGCUUUGAAGGAUCACAAUUUUGAUAUUUCUUUGUACUUUUUUUUCCCUUGUGUGGUGAAGUCAAUAAACGGAUAGAAAAAAACA
Molecule: long non-coding RNA, 1274 nt
Filed under: Apteryx owenii (little spotted kiwi)
Lineage: Eukaryota; Metazoa; Chordata; Aves; Apterygiformes; Apterygidae
Description: lncRNA (ENSAOWG00000007865.1)
Source: RNAcentral